RNAcentral lists this ribosomal RNA (1736 nucleotides) under Parabacteroides distasonis. RNAcentral's name for it is "partial 23S ribosomal RNA". It matches the Rfam family "Bacterial large subunit ribosomal RNA", at positions 1 to 1745 of the family's 2925-position model. Lineage: Bacteria; Pseudomonadati; Bacteroidota; Bacteroidia; Bacteroidales; Tannerellaceae. The record is from RNAcentral.
AAAGAAAGUAAGCAAGGGCGCAUGGCGGAUGCCUUGGCUCUCGGAGGCGAUGAAGGACGUGAUAAGCUGCGAUAAGCUUCGGGAAGGUGCAAAUAACCUUUGAUCCGAAGAUUUCCGAAUGGGACAACCCGGCAUUCUGAAGGAAUGUCAUCCAUCCUAGAUGGAAGCUAACGCAGGGAACUGAAACAUCUUAGUACCUGUAGGAAAAGAAAAUAAUAAUGAUUCCCCUAGUAGUGGCGAGCGAACGGGGAUUAGCCCAAACCAAUGUUGUUACGGCAAUAUUGGGGUUGUAGGACCACGACAUCGCAAGACAUUUCAUGAGUAGAACCCUUUGGAAAAUGGGACCAUAGACGGUGAUAGUCCGGUAUACGAAGUGAAACGAAGCGUAGUGGUAUCCUGAGUAGCGCGGGACACGAGAAAUCUUGCGUGAAUCUGCCGGGACCAUCCGGUAAGGCUAAAUACUCCCGAGAGACCGAUAGCGAACCAGUACUGUGAAGGAAAGGUGAAAAGCACUUCGAAUAGAAGAGUGAAAUAGUCCCUGAAACCGUGCGCCUACAAGCGGUCGGAGCAACGUAAGUUGUGACGGCGUGCCUUUUGCAUAAUGAACCUACGAGUUACUUUCUCCGGCAAGGUUAAGUAUUUCAAGAUACGGAGCCGAAGCGAAAGCGAGUCUGAACAGGGCGACUAGUCGGAGGGAGUAGACGCGAAACCAAGUGAUCUACCCAUGGUCAGGUUGAAGGUUAGGUAACACUAACUGGAGGACCGAACCGGUAAGCGUUGAAAAGCUUUCGGAUGAACUGUGGGUAGGGGUGAAAGGCUAAUCAAACUUGGAGAUAGCUCGUACUCCCCGAAAUGCAUUUAGGUGCAGCCUUGGGAAUUACUACUGUGAGGUAGAGCGACUGAUAAGAUGCGAGGGCUUCACCGCCUAUCAAGUCUUGAUAAACUCCGAAUGCGCAGUAGUUCGAUCCCAGGAGUGAGGGCAUGGGUGCUAAGGUCCAUGUCCUAAAGGAGAAGAAUCCAGACCAUCAGCUAAGGUCCCGAAAUAAUUGCUAAGUUGAACUAACGAAGUCAGAUUGCUAAGACAGCUAGGAUGUUGGCUUGGAAGCAGCCAUUCAUUUAAAGAGUGCGUAACAGCUCACUAGUCGAGGAGUUUGGCGUGGAUAAUAAUCGGGCAUCAAGCAAUUUACCGAAGCUAUGGGAUCAGUAAUGAUCGGUAGGGGAGCAUUCCACUCCGCGUCGAAGGUGAAGCGUGAGCUUUGCUGGAGCGUGUGGAAAAGCAAAUGUAGGUAUAAGUAACGAUAAAGGGGGUGAGAAACCCCCUCGCCGAAAGACUAAGGUUUCCUGAUCAACGCUAAUCGGAUCAGGGUUAGUCGGGUCCUAAGGCUCAGCCGAACGGCGAUUCCGAUGGAAGAAUGGUUUAAUAUUCCCAUACUACCUUAUAGAGCGAUGUGGAGACGGAGAAGUGACAGUCCUGCCAACUGACGGAAUAGUUGGUUAAAGGGUGUAGACGUUGAUCGCGGUAGGCAAAUCCGCCGUGAGAGUCGAACCUGAGAGUAUGCCGAGUACUUGUACAAGGCAAUAUGGAUGUAAACAGGCUCCCUAGAAAAUCCGCUAAGCAUAUCUAUAGAGUACCCGUACCGUAAACGGACACACGUAGUUGGGUUGAGAAUACUGAGGCGCUCGAGUGAUUCACGGUUAAGGAACUAGGCAAAUUGACCCUGUAACUUCGGGAUAAA